This 119-nucleotide ribosomal RNA is filed under the name Pteropus alecto (black flying fox). Lineage: Eukaryota; Metazoa; Chordata; Mammalia; Chiroptera; Pteropodidae. The record is from RNAcentral.
GCCUACAGCCACGCCACCCUGAACAUGCCCGAUCCCGUCUGAGCUCGGAAGCUAAGCAGAGUUGGGCCUGGUUAGUACUUGGAUGGGAGACCACCUAGGAAGACCAGGUGCUGUAGGCA